Molecule: long non-coding RNA, 544 nt
Organism: Alosa sapidissima (American shad)
Lineage: Eukaryota; Metazoa; Chordata; Actinopteri; Clupeiformes; Clupeidae
Exons: 3
Source: RefSeq, a predicted model, not a curated record
ACAGUGUAAUGGCACUCUUAUGUCGAUACUGUCAAGUAAAGUGUUACCCUAUAUUGCUUAAAUAGGAAAUGGUAAAAUACCAUCCUCUUUGUUUUAAUCCAAAUAUUACAUUUUAUGACUAAAUUACUUUUAUUUUCAUUCAUUCAGUUAUAAAUUUAUUUUCAAUCAAUAAUAUUAUUCAAUUAACAAUGAUUUUUGUGGACAAUUAUCUCUAUUUUUAAACUUUCACACUGCACUGUGCAUUGGUGCUAUGAAUCAGAUGGAAGACUGAGAGUGGCAAGCGGAAAAAAGAUACAAUUCAUUUAAACAGAUGAAAACCUGUCAGAAGCUCCAGAGAUGAAAAUGUGCCCUGUCUGGCUCCUCAGCCCUGACCUGAGAGUGGAGAGGCCGUCCUCAUUAGGCCUGAGUAUAUACAGGAUGCCACCUAUGAUUCUUCUGAGCCACAGCUCGUCCAAUCACUGACCAAGAGAGGUGCCUGAUUGCAUGGAUAGAACCGCUGACAUCCAGGGAGAGCGAAAUGUCCAGAAUUCAUUUGAGAAUAAAC